This 433-nucleotide ribosomal RNA is filed under the name uncultured bacterium. RNAcentral's name for it is "partial 16S ribosomal RNA". It matches the Rfam family "Bacterial small subunit ribosomal RNA", at positions 29 to 507 of the family's 1533-position model. The record is from RNAcentral.
AACGAACGCUGGCGGCAUGCCUAACACAUGCAAGUCGAACGAGACCUUCGGGUCUAGUGGCGCACGGGUGCGUAACGCGUGGGAACCUGCCCUUAGGUUCGGAAUAACUCCCCGAAAGGGGUGCUAAUACCGGAUAAUGUCUUCGGACCAAAGAUUUAUCGCCUUUGGAUGGGCCCGCGUUGGAUUAGCUAGUUGGUAGGGUAAAAGCCUACCAAGGCGACGAUCCAUAGCUGGUCUGAGAGGAUGAUCAGCCACACUGGGACUGAGACACGGCCCAGACUCCUCCGGGAGGCAGCGGGGGGGAGUUUGGGACAAGGGGCGAAGGCCGGACCCCGCAGUCCCGGGUGAGUGAUGAGGCCUUUAGGGUUUAAAAGCUUUUUUACCCGGGAGAAUAAUGACGGUCCCGGAAAAAAAAGCCCCGGCUACCCCCGUC